AUGUCCUCAAGCAUGAUUACUGAAAAUGGGUUCCUCCUAACAGCCUCUACUGUUCGAUCAAGUCCUGUUUUACCACGGAAAUUCACUUCAGAUUCUCCAUCAUCGCGUCGCGCACCAAGAGAUACCAUUAUUGGAUUGGUCCCACAGACCAGAUCUGAUAGAGCUGAUGCCAUCUUCUUUUUGCCAACCCCGUCAGGACCUGUGAACAGUAGCCAAAUAUCACCCUUAGAUGCACUACCCCGCCGUUUACCAUUGCCCAAUUUGCAUUGUGUCACGGUUGUAGCUACUGCAGAGGCUGGGGCUGCUUCUCGCUGCCACCAAACCUUCUCAAGAAGACCCUUGAGUAGUCUCUUAAAUGAAUCCGCAUCUAACGCACUUAGAAGCUUGUUGGCCUGCAAGUCAUGCAACUUGAUCUGUGGCUCAGAAGCAACAACACCAAAAAAGUCUUUAAUGCUCUCCUCAUGGCCUUUCUCAGGAGUGUUUUCGCUGCUCUUUGGCCGCCCAAGAACCAGGUCUGUCUUCACAGGGCUUCCUGGCGGAGUAAUUGCCUGACCAGGUGAUUGGCUGGGAAACAGAUUUGGGUUCAGUUGUGGAGAUCCACCAAUAUUUCUAUUCAAACCUAACUUGGGCUGGAAAUGUUGGCGAGGAAGGAGGUUAGUAUUGUACAAGCUCAUCGUAGAGAGAGCCGGUUGUGUAAUUCUCUCAGAGCCAACAUUAGGCUGAUGAUAAACAGGAUGAAGAUGCAAGCACUUGUAAUGCCAUUUCUUCUGCAACUCUAGACUCUUCUGCUUAAAAAUUAAUUCUUGAUCUUUAGUCAGAGUCUGAUCCAACGUUUUAGCAUCAACAUCUUGAGACUUGGCACUUUUCAGCCACUGUGGUAGUAGUUGCUGAGUUGUUUCUGAUUUAAAUUCUGAAGAAGAUAUCUCAGAUUCUUUUGGGAUAGUUUUUGCGAGCUCUUGCUCAUAAUUGUGCAUACAUUGUGGGCAACAACUCAUUCUUUGAGCAGGAUCCAAGUUCUCAGUAAGACGCCUUGGUGGAGUAGGUGUAAUGGUUGGAAAGCCCUUCAAAGGUGAAAAAGAUUCAACUGAGUUGCUUAGAAUCCCAUUGGUUCCAAGCCUCGGAAACAUUCCUGGAAGAGGUGCUCUAGGAGCGAUUG
Molecule: unclassified non-coding RNA, 1156 nt
Filed under: Hevea brasiliensis (rubber tree)
Lineage: Eukaryota; Viridiplantae; Streptophyta; Magnoliopsida; Malpighiales; Euphorbiaceae
Source: RNAcentral